RNAcentral lists this ribosomal RNA (493 nucleotides) under Paenibacillus mucilaginosus. Its description in RNAcentral is "bacterial SSU rRNA". It matches the Rfam family "Bacterial small subunit ribosomal RNA", at positions 1 to 492 of the family's 1533-position model. Lineage: Bacteria; Bacillati; Bacillota; Bacilli; Caryophanales; Paenibacillaceae. The record is from RNAcentral.
CUUGGAGGAGUUGAUCCUGGCUCAGGACGAACGCUGGCGGCGUGCCUAAUACAUGCAAGUCGAGCGGAGCACUUCGGUGCUUAGCGGCGGACGGGUGAGUAACACGUAGGCAACCUGCCUGUAAGAUCGGGAUAACUACCGGAAACGGUAGCUAAGACCGGAUAGCUGGUUUCGGUGCAUGCCGGAAUCAUGAAACACGGGGCAACCUGUGGCUUACAGAUGGGCCUGCGGCGCAUUAGCUAGUUGGCGGGGUAACGGCCCACCAAGGCGACGAUGCGUAGCCGACCUGAGAGGGUGAUCGGCCACACUGGGACUGAGACACGGCCCAGACUCCUACGGGAGGCAGCAGUAGGGAAUCUUCCGCAAUGGGCGCAAGCCUGACGGAGCAACGCCGCGUGAGUGAUGAAGGUUUUCGGAUCGUAAAGCUCUGUUGCCAGGGAAGAAUGUCGUGGAGAGUAACUGCUCUGCGAAUGACGGUACCGAGAAGAAAGCC